Molecule: long non-coding RNA, 364 nt
Filed under: Eutrema salsugineum
Lineage: Eukaryota; Viridiplantae; Streptophyta; Magnoliopsida; Brassicales; Brassicaceae
Description: long non-coding RNA (ESAL_LNC000012)
Source: RNAcentral
CUUCAUGAGUAUCCUCCACCAGAACCACGUCGGAGGUCUUCAGCUGAAAACCAUGACUGAUCAGUGGGUCGGGUUUAACCCGUCGCCGACAAGAUUCGUCGUUCUCUCCGGCAUGGGUCUCACGGUGAGUCCAAAUCCAGCUAUUAUACGAUUCCAAUUUCACAAUAUAUAGUCUAAGGACUCGAUAUACUGUAUAUAACCUUAAGCAAUUGAUAUAUUUUUUGUGAUGAAGGCGUGGAGUAACGAUAGGAUAAAGCCGUGUUACCACAGGGUAGUGAUGAGCGCAGAGGAGAUUCGAUACUCUUUAGGGUUUUUCUCCUUCAACAAAGGGACGAUCCGUACGCCGGAGGAGCUCGUCGAUGCC